GGGGGUUUAGCUCAGUGGUAGAGCACUUGCCUAGCAAGCACAAGGUCCUGGGUUCGGUCCCCAGCUCUG
Molecule: transfer RNA, 69 nt
Filed under: Rattus norvegicus (Norway rat)
Lineage: Eukaryota; Metazoa; Chordata; Mammalia; Rodentia; Muridae
Rfam family: tRNA
About the family: Transfer RNA (tRNA) molecules are approximately 80 nucleotides in length.
Source: Rfam by way of RNAcentral